CCUACGGGUGGCAGCAGUGAGGAAUAUUGGUCAAUGGACGAAAGUCUGAACCAGCCAAGUCGCGUGAAGGAUGACUGCCCUAUGGGUUGUAAACUUCUUUUAUAUGGGAAUAAAUUGUUCAAAGAGUAGGAUUUUGUAUGUACCAUAUGAAUAAGGAUCGGCUAACUCCGUGCCAGCAGCCGCGGUAAGACGGAGGGUCCGGGCGUUAUCCGGAUUGAUUGGGAUUAAAGGGCGCGUAGGUGGAUUGUUAAGUCAGGUGUGAAAGUUUGCGGCUCAACCGUAAAAUUGCAGUUGAAACUGGCAGUCUUGAGUACAGUAGAGGUGGGCGGAAUUCGUGGUGUAGCAGUGAAAUGCGUAGAUAUCACGAAGAACUCCGAUUGCGAAGGCAGCUCACUGGACUGCAACUGACACUGAGGCUCGAAAGUGUGGGUAGCAAACAGGAUUAGAUACCCCUGUAGUC
This 460-nucleotide ribosomal RNA is filed under the name uncultured bacterium. RNAcentral describes it as "partial 16S ribosomal RNA". It matches the Rfam family "Bacterial small subunit ribosomal RNA", at positions 338 to 795 of the family's 1533-position model. The record is from RNAcentral.